This 1254-nucleotide ribosomal RNA is filed under the name Triticum aestivum (bread wheat). RNAcentral describes it as "partial small subunit ribosomal RNA". The record is from RNAcentral. Lineage: Eukaryota; Viridiplantae; Streptophyta; Magnoliopsida; Poales; Poaceae.
AUGGCCCCCGACGUUCCCGUGCCCCCGUCGGAGGAGGUCGACCAAGGCCCGCCAGUGACGGAGAGGCGGGAGGACCCCGUGAUCUUCGUGGAGGGGGCGUCGCAGACGGCGCCGACUGGAGCGGGCCAAAGCGGCCAAUCAGCUGCGACGCCAGAGCAGCCGUCCAGGGGCGAGCCGGUGGCAGGGGCCGGCCUCGAGGUGCAGCAGGCAUUGCGCCGGCACGCAGGGGGUGGUGCCUCCGUGCCGGAACCGCACCGAGCAGCGGGCGCCAGCCAGACGGCGGAGGCCCUGGAGACGGCCAGCGUCAGCACGUCCGAGUGGACUCCCAGCGGGGGGACGGGCGAGCUGAACACGGUGGCCCAGGAGGUCCGGAACCGGCUUCAAGCUCAGGCCGCCUUGCUGCAGCGAUACACUCAAGAGUUUCUCUCGACGCGGGCCGUCAUCCGGGAGUAUCACAACCUCCGUGCAGCUGCCUUCAACUCCCAGGCUCAGGAGCUGGGCAGGAGAACCGAGGACCUGACCAGCAGCCGGAGAGCCAAUGCCGACUUGAGGGAGCAGCUCAGCAGGGCGCAGGCUGCCCUUCGUGCCAAGGAAACUGAGUACGACGCCUUGGUCCUGGAGCGUGACCGCCUGGCCAAGAAGCUGGCUGACCAGGAGGAGAGCCACAAGGCGGCCCUGAAGAAGGCGCAGGAUAACGAAACCGCCCUGAAGGCCGAGUUCGAGACCGAAGCGGCGGGCUGGGAUGAAACCAGGCAAGCGCUGAAUGAAGGCUUCAGCCAUAUUGAGGAUUUGAUCGAUGACUACUUUCCCGGCUACUCCGUCUUCGCUACCCAAACCAUCGAGGCCCAUCGCGAAGCAUGCCGUCAGGCGGGGGCCGACAUCGCGUCGGACGCGAGUCGGACGCUUGAGGAGCAACUCUUGGCAGUCCAAGCGCGGCUGCAGCCGGCUCAUCGUAUGCUCUGCCGCCUCCAGCGCGUCGGGGCGCAGGUGUUGGCCGCCCUCUGGCCAAGCGAGACGAUUCCCCGCCCCAAGUCGGACUGCCGACUGGCUGGAAGUUGCGGUUGGCCGCUUCGAGGCUUGGAAAGCAUCAGCGGCCCGGCUUGGAGCUGGGCGGGCGUUGGAGUUCGUCCGAGCUUGGUAUCCGGGGCUGAACCUGGACCAGCUGCGCACCUGGCGGCUGGAGGCCGACGAAGAGCUGGAGGAGGUGCGGCCGGCUAUCGCUCAGCGCGCUUCGAUGAUCGCCGAGUGUACUGA